This is an RNA transcript of Eucalyptus grandis, 2193 nucleotides long. RefSeq lists it as hypothetical. The record is from RefSeq and is a predicted model, not a curated record. The transcript has 11 exons. NCBI's taxonomy places the organism in Eukaryota, Viridiplantae, Streptophyta, Magnoliopsida, Myrtales, Myrtaceae.
CGCGGUCGCGGUCUCUCUCUCUCUCUCUCUCUCGAGCUCUCUCGCGGAGAAGAAAGAAGCACAGCGACUCCCCCCCGCCGAUCCGAUCUCUCUUUCUCUCUCUAAAAGGCAAAGAAGAAGGAGGCGAAGAUGCGUCUUUCGCUUUCGCUUUCCCACGGCCUCAUUUGAGUUUUUAUAGAAAGGCUUUUUUAGCUUCGUCUUCAUUGACCCUCUCCUCCCUUUAAAAAACCCAACACAAGUCUUCUUCUCCUACUUUCGAGGCUUCGUACCAAAAGGAAAAAAAAAAAAAAAACUUCCCAAUACAAUUCGCCUCUCUUCCCAACGGUCUCCUGCCUCCUCGAGCUUCCCAGUAUCCUCUCGCUGCUAGGGCUUCCCUUCUGCUUCUUCUUCUUCUUCUUCUGCUGCCAAUGGCAUUUUGGUGAGAAGAGAGGGGACAAUGGUGGCGAGGUCCAGGGCAUUCGCGGCCCAGCUCGACUUCCGGUUCGAGCUCGCGCUCCCCCGGAGGAGCGGCAGGCUGGAGCUGGAGCUGGGGACGCGGGCCGGGAGGAGGGGUGCUCGCGCGAAGGGGUUGGCCGAUCGGGCCGCGGCGAGCCGGAUCGGGUGCUGCUGCUCCGACUCGGUGGUCCCGGCGCGGCGGACGGCGGCGUCGGCGGCCGCGGCCGGGAAGGGCGCGGAGAACUGCGACGACUGGCGGUUCGAAUCGAAGAAGAUCGCUCCCACGCCCGUAAUGCCCUUCGCUUCUCCACAGUCUCAUUUCCUCUCCAAGCAAGAGAAGUUUUAUCCAAGAUGUACCCCCAGAAGCUCUGGUCCACAGUCCCGUGAUACACCACCGAAGAGAGACACGGGUAUCGCAAAUGAGAAGGACUGGGGCAUCAACUUGUUAAAUGAAAACAUUAAUGAGACUGGCACUAACGAAGAUGGCAGUACUUGGUACAGAGAGAGCGGGGAAGACAUGGGCGAUAAUGGAUACAGAUGUAGAUGGACAAGGAUGGGCGGUCGAUCUCAUGAUGGUUCUUCAGAAUGGAAAGAAAUGUGGUGGGAGAAAAGCGACUGGAGUGGUUACAAAGAGCUAGGAGUAGAGAAAUCUGGAAAAAAUGCAGAAGGGGAUUCAUGGUGGGAAACAUGGAAUGAAGUUUUGUAUCAAGAUGAAUGGAGCAACCUAGCAAGGAUAGAGAGGAGUGCACAGAAACAAGCAAAGUCAGGCACUGAAAAUGCUGGUUGGUAUGAGAAAUGGUGGGAGAAGUAUGAUGCCAAAGGGUGGACUGAGAAAGGGGCACAUAAGUACGGUAGACUGAAUGAACAGUCAUGGUGGGAAAAGUGGGGAGAGCAUUAUGACGGACGAGGAUCUGUCCUAAAAUGGACAGAUAAAUGGGCAGAGACCGAGUUGGGGACCAAAUGGGGAGACAAGUGGGAAGAGAAAUUUUUUGCUGGCAUAGGUUCGCGUCAAGGGGAGACGUGGCAUGUAUCCCCAGCAGGUGAACCCACAGGUUUCAUGUGUGAAGGGCCUGCGGCCACAUCAACUUUUACGGUUUCUGCCUUUGGUGGACAUACUUGAGAGGGUAAAGCAUGCAACUGUAACCAAGAUGUCCUUGUUGCACAAAAGGUUCAAUGACUUUUAUAGUUUUCUGGACAGCACUAUCAGAAAGAAUAUACGGACACUGAAACUUGUAUACUCAACUUCCCGACAGGAUAUAGCUUAUUUUAAACAGGGCUGGUUUUUCACAAGUGAAAAAAUGGAACAAGCGACCAAAGUGAAUAUUCCCAUCUUCCACUAUUCUGAACAAUAUUCUGCUCUAGUCUUAGAGGCUCUUUUGGUUACACCCCGGAAAUAUAUCUCAAGAGUUAAUCUUCUUGAAUACUUCGUGUGAAGCACUAGCAUGAUGAUAGUACUAUUGUCAGUGAUGGGAAGUUCACUAGUUUGUGCAUCUAAUAGAUUAUCAAAUGCCUAGUGACGCUUCUUGUCUGAAGUAGGAUACUCAGAUUCAUUAUUAGUCCAAAUGCAGAAGGUCUAAUUUGUGUGAAGGUUUCUCUUCUUUCGUACAGGAUGGUCAAGGACAUGGGGGGAGGAACACUUUGGAAAUGGUAAGGUGCACAAGUAUGGGAAGAGCACGACCGGUGAAAGCUGGGAUAUUGUUGUCGACGAGGAAACUUAUUAUGAGGCUGAACCGCACUACGGGUGGGCAGAUGUUGUCG